Molecule: ribosomal RNA, 567 nt
Filed under: uncultured fungus
Lineage: Eukaryota; Fungi
Description: eukaryotic LSU rRNA
Rfam family: 5.8S ribosomal RNA (bases 194-346)
Source: RNAcentral
UCCGUAGGUGAACCUGCGGAAGGAUCAUUCCCAGUUGGGACGUCACAACUUGUUGUGAUGUUCCGUAACUAAUACAUUUCCUGUGUUAUUGUCUGGUAUACUAUCGCAAGAUUUUAUACCACUUUUCACACAAACCCAACCUAACCGAGACAGAUCAUCUUGGCUACUUUAUUGUGGCUAAAACAACAGAUAAAACUGUUGGCAACGGAUCACUCGGCUCUCGUGUCGAUGAAGAGCGUAGCGAAUUGCGAAAACUAAUGCGAUCUGCAACCAUCGUGAAUCAUCGAGUCCUUGAACGCAACUUGCGCCGUCUGCAUUCGUGGACGGCAUGCCUGGGUGAGUAGAACGAUAAGUGUCCUGUAGUCACAUUGCUGAUUACGGGGAAAUGGCUUGCUCGUCCGACCUACCGGUUGGACGACCGGCUGAAAUGCAUAAAGCAGAAUGUUUGUUGCAGAUCAUGUGCGGUACAUUUUUUGAGCGGAUCCUGGUCGAUCCACGCGUUAAUGUGCAGCGUGGCAUGGUUAGCUUUAGCAAGGUAGGUCUGGUAUUUCGGUUAAACACGGCCCU